CACUGGUCCAAUGCGUUCUAAUACCUUAUAAGGCCCAAAAAACCGAGGAGAUAGCUUCAUGGAAGAUCGGACCUUUAUGGAAGUUUUCUUAUAGGGUUGAAGACGAAGGAAAACCUAAUCACCUACAGUAAAUUCUCGUUCACUUCGGUGUUUAUCAGCUUGUUGUUUCAUUCUUGCUUGUGCGGCUGUGAGGUUAUCCUUUAAAAGCUGAAU
RNAcentral lists this long non-coding RNA (213 nucleotides) under Musa acuminata (dwarf banana). RNAcentral describes it as "long non-coding RNA (MACU_LNC005354)". Lineage: Eukaryota; Viridiplantae; Streptophyta; Magnoliopsida; Zingiberales; Musaceae. The record is from RNAcentral.